Molecule: ribosomal RNA, 504 nt
Filed under: uncultured Alteromonadales bacterium
Lineage: Bacteria; Pseudomonadati; Pseudomonadota; Gammaproteobacteria; Alteromonadales
Description: bacterial SSU rRNA
Rfam family: Bacterial small subunit ribosomal RNA
Source: RNAcentral
AUACGGAGGGUGCAAGCGUUAAUCGGAAUUACUGGGCGUAAAGCGCACGCAGGCGGUUUGUUAAGCGAGAUGUGAAAUCCCCGGGCUCAACCUGGGAAUUGCAUUUCGAACUGACAAACUAGAGUACGAGAGAGGGGGGUAGAAUUCCAGGUGUAGCGGUGAAAUGCGUAGAUAUCUGGAGGAAUACCAAUGGCGAAGGCAGCCCCCUGGUUCGAUACUGACGCUGAGGUGCGAAGGCGUGGGGAGCAAACAGGAUUAGAUACCCUGGUAGUCCACGCGGUAAACGAUGUCUACUAGCUGUUUGUGGAUUUAAUCCGUGAGUAGCGAAGCUAACGCGAUAAGUAGACCGCCUGGGGAGUACGGCCGCAAGGUUAAAACUCAAAUGAAUUGACGGGGGCCCGCACAAGCGGUGGAGCAUGUGGUUUAAUUCGAUGCAACGCGAAGAACCUUACCUACUCUUGACAUACUAGAAACUUUUCAGAGAUGAAUUGGUGCCUUCGGGAA